GAUGAAGAACGUAGCGAAAUGCGAUAAGUAGUGUGAAUUGCAGAAUUCAGUGAAUCAUCGAAUCUUUGAACGCACAUUGCGCCCUUUGGUAUUCCUUAGGGCAUGCCUGUUCGAGCGUCAUUUAAACCUUCAAGCUAAGCUUGGUGUUGGGUGACUGUCCGCUUCACGGCGGACUCGCCUCAAAAUUAUUGGCGGCCGGUACAUUGGCUUCGAGCGCAGCAGAAACGCGAACUCGGGCCCGUCGUAUUGGCUCCCAGAAGCUAUCUUCACAAUUUUGACCUCGGAUCAGGUAGGGAUACCCGCUGAACUUAAGCAUAUCAAUAAGCAGAGGA
Molecule: unclassified non-coding RNA, 332 nt
Filed under: soil metagenome
Description: partial contains 5.8S ribosomal RNA, internal transcribed spacer 2, and large subunit ribosomal RNA
Rfam family: 5.8S ribosomal RNA (bases 1-120)
Source: RNAcentral